CUUCUCACUCUCUCAAGCCUGGCAGGUAGCAGCACCAUGAAGGGCACCAAACUGUGGGAAAGUAUUUAAUUUACCUAGAGAUGAAAAGGAAGCUGCCAGGGGUGGGCACAUGUCUGUAGUCCCAGCUACUCAGGAGGCUGAGGCAGAAGAAUCCCUUGAACCCAGGAGUUGGAGGUUGUGGUGAGCCAAGCUCACGCUAUUGUACUCCAGCCUGGGCAACAAGAGCGAAACUCUGUCUCAAAAAAUAAUAAAUAAAUUCUCCUGACCUCGUGAUCCACCCACCUCGGCCUCCCAAAGUGCUGGGGUUACAGGUGUGAGCCACCACACCUGGCCAAGUUGAUUCUAUCUUAAAUGAGUUGAAGGGGACUCAUGGCCUCGCCAUACUUGAGAAUGCAGUUUGGGAGUUCAGGAAAUGUGAUUAAUAUUAUAUGUCUACUGGUCUCUCCCUUCAGCCAUUCUUAAAGAUAUUAUCGUGCCUGGGAUGUGUGAGACCCCUGCCCCCAGGAGGGCCCUUAAACCAAUGAUGGGUGCAGCCCUGAGCCUGACUCACACACCUGAUUCCCCUUCAGGACCAGUCUGAAGCUCCUCUCUGCCGGGCAUAGCGAAAUGUAUAAUUUUCCCUUUGGAAUAGGAUUUCAGCACUUGGAAAUUCUAAGGUCAUGAUUGGAAGAAGGCUUAAAAGUAAAGAGGCUGGGACCUGUGGCAGAAAAAGGGAGAAAAGGUGGAAGUAAAAGAGGAAAACAGACUUAGUUUCUAGAAGCCCAUGGCUUUGCCUAUUUGUCCACCAUCUGGAAUAUAGUAAGUGCUCAUUAAAUAUUUGCUGAAUGAAUCCAAAACA
Molecule: long non-coding RNA, 838 nt
Filed under: Pan troglodytes (chimpanzee)
Lineage: Eukaryota; Metazoa; Chordata; Mammalia; Primates; Hominidae
Description: long non-coding RNA NONPTRT009169
Source: RNAcentral